ACGACGCUGGCGGCGUGCUUAAUACAUGCAAGUCAACGACUUUUAGAGUAGCAAUAUUUUAAAGGGAGUGGCGCACGGGUGAGUAACACGUAGGUAAUCUGCCUUCAGGACUGACACAACUCGUCGAAAGACGGGCUAAUAUCAGAUAAUGCAGCGGCUCCGCAUGGAGACAGUUGUUAAAGUACAAGCGCCUGAAGAUGAGCCUGCGGUCCAUUAGCUAGUUGGUAGAGUAACAGCCUACCAAGGCAACGAUGGAUAGCUGGUCUGAGAGGAUGAUCAGCCACACUGGAACUGAGACACGGUCCAGACUCCUACGGGAGGCAGCAGUAAGGAAUAUUGCUCAAUGGCCGAAAGGCUGAAGCAGCAACGCCGCGUGAAGGAUGAAUGGCCUUUGGCCUGUAAACUUCUGUAAAAGGGAAAAACAGUCAGGCAUGUCCUGAUUUGAUUGUACCUUUGAAGUAAGCCCCGGCUAACUACGUG
Molecule: ribosomal RNA, 480 nt
Filed under: uncultured bacterium
Lineage: Bacteria
Description: bacterial SSU rRNA
Rfam family: Bacterial small subunit ribosomal RNA
Source: RNAcentral